UAGCGUGUGAUUGUGCAGCCAUUUUUAGUUCUGUUUUUUGAAUUCAUCAAAACUUAGACUAAGUAUGUGUGUAUGUGAUUCUUUAUUCAUAGGCACAGCAACUGUACACGGGGAAGCCACUCUGCGAGAGCAGAACUGAAAAUCUGCAGAGAUUCGAGGAGCCCAAAACAGAAAAGAAAUGCAUAUUUCAAGAGAAAACUAGAAGCAAAAUUUACUUGAAACUCCAAAAUACCGCCCCAAACCUAAAAUGAUCCAAAUGUACCAGAUGUGAUGUGAGCAUCGAUAUUGACGCGUCCUGAUAUUGUCAGGAUGUCCCUGCGGCAAAGAGGUCAUUGGAUGUUGGAGUGAAAGGAUAUCUAGACCAUCCUCCGUGACACUGCAAAUAAAGGUUUGCGCACUAUUUUAAGAGGUACACAGAUUCAUCAGAUCUUCCCGUGGAUCAGAGAUUAAGAGAAGACGACCUUGUGUCCCUUCUGAACAGACAAGUAAGAUGAAAACUGAUUUGAUGGAUAUCACCCACCCGUUUUAAAAUAGCUCUGAAAAUGGCUCUACUUUUCCCCUGGAAAGAAAUAUAAUUCCACAUCCCUCACUGGGAGAAGAAGCAUUUCAUAGUAGCUAUGACUCGGAAACCGUAUAUUCCCAGAUACAGGUCAGUAGCAAGCUGUAUGUAUUUCUUUUGAAAAUAAGAAGAAAGGGACGUGAGGGUGAUCCGGCCGUGACAUCUGUCACCCCAUUGAUUGCCAGUGUUGACUCAGCUGAUCUGGCAGGCUAGGCAGGUGUCCCCUCCCGCCUCACGCGGUCCAUGCACGAAGCUGCACACGCCUGCUCGGAUUAGGAGGACGACCUUCCCCGUUACAGGGGGAUCAUUCUUGCAUCACGGGUAUUCAAGUGGCUGCUGUCCCCUGUUAGAAUCUCCAAACAAGCUUUCAAGGCCCGUUUGUAGAAGAGCAUAGAGGAGUCCAGCCUCCAAGACUCCACACACGUGCAAAUGAGGUGCUACAUGUGGCGGGCUGUCUUUCUUUCUUUCUUUCUUUCUUUCUUUCUUUCUUUCCUUCAAUAAAUAAAUAAGAAAAAAAAAUAUAUAUAUAUAU
This 1091-nucleotide long non-coding RNA is filed under the name Felis catus (domestic cat). Its description in RNAcentral is "lncRNA (ENSFCAG00000033431.3)". The stretch from base 695 to 1022 matches the Rfam family "7SK RNA". Lineage: Eukaryota; Metazoa; Chordata; Mammalia; Carnivora; Felidae. The record is from RNAcentral.